GAUGAAGAACGUAGCGAAAUGCGAUAAGUAAUGUGAAUUGCAGAAUUAAGUGAAUCAUCGAAUCUUUGAACGCACAUUGCGCCCGCCAGUAUUCUGGCGGGCAUGCCUGUUCGAGCGUCAUUUCAACCCUCAAGCACAGCUUGGUGUUGGGACUCGCGUUAAUUCGCGUUCCCCAAAUUGAUUGGCGGUCACGUCGAGCUUCCAUAGCGUAGUAGUAAAACCCUCGUUACUGGUAAUCGUCGCGGCCACGCCGUUAAACCCCAACUUCUGAAUGUUGACCUCGGAUCAGGUAGGAAUACCCGCUGAACUUAAGCAUAUCAAUAAGCGGAGGA
RNAcentral lists this unclassified non-coding RNA (332 nucleotides) under soil metagenome. Its description in RNAcentral is "partial contains 5.8S ribosomal RNA, internal transcribed spacer 2, and large subunit ribosomal RNA". The stretch from base 1 to 120 matches the Rfam family "5.8S ribosomal RNA", at positions 35 to 154 of the family's 154-position model. The record is from RNAcentral.